UACGGGGGGGGCAAGCGUUGUUCGGAAUUACUGGGCGUAAAGGGCGCGUAGGCGGCCUGCUAAGUCGGAUGUGAAAUCCCUCGGCUCAACCGAGGAACUGCAUCCGAUACUGGCGGGCUUGAAUCCGGGAGAGGGAUGUGGAAUUCCAGGUGUAGCGGUGAAAUGCGUAGAUAUCUGGAGGAACACCAGUGGCGAAAGCGGCUUCCUGGUCCAGCACCGACAUUCAGGCACGAAAGCGUGGGGAGCAAACAGG
RNAcentral lists this ribosomal RNA (253 nucleotides) under uncultured bacterium. RNAcentral describes it as "partial 16S ribosomal RNA". It matches the Rfam family "Bacterial small subunit ribosomal RNA", at positions 524 to 776 of the family's 1533-position model. The record is from RNAcentral.